UCCUUUGUACGUAUCUUUUUUAUGCAAUUACAUAGAAUCAUUGAUAACAAAAAAAUGGGUGCAGGAACUCUAUGCUCUAAUGUUAAUCAACAUGCCUACAACCAAAGGAGAGAGUAAAACCCAAAGUCAAGACAAGCAGCUUGAUGCUGAGGGAGAAGAUGGCAACGAGGAUGAAGACGACGAAGAAGAUGAUGAUGGAGAUGGUGCAUUUGGAGAAGGAGAAGAGGAAUUGUCAUCUGAAGAUGGAGGUGGAUAUGGCAACAAUUCCAACAAUAAGAGCAACUCAAAGAAGACUCCUGAAGGUGGUGCUGGUGGGGCAGAUGAAAAUGGAGAAGAGGAAGACGAUGAAGAUGGUGAAGGUGAUGACCAUGAUGAAGAUGACGAUGAGGACGAGGACGACGAAGAAGAGGAUGAGGUCGGAGAAGAGGACGAAGAAGAUGGUGUUGAAGAAGAGAAUGAAGAGGAAGAAGAAGACGAAGAUGAGGAAGCCUUGCAGCCACCAAAGAAAAGGAAGAAGUGAAUUUAGCUUAGUCAAGCCUCCUUUUGUAUUGUUGUGUACGAAUUUGGCUUCUAACUUCCCAUGAUGUUUUUUUUAAGUAUUAAACUUCUAUGUUCUUGUUUUCUUUAUAAGGAGGCCUAUGUAGGACAUGUUUUAAUUGAUAUCUGUGUUUACCAUUGCGUAAUUAGAAUUCUACAUUAUGUUGAGCAGUCAGUCUUAAAUUUACAAGACAGAAAAAAUAAUGAUCCUAGUUAAUUUUAACGUGACUUUUCUCACUUCACCAACUUCUGUAAUUUGUUUAUGUUCUACUACAGUUCC
Molecule: long non-coding RNA, 817 nt
Filed under: Cicer arietinum (chickpea)
Lineage: Eukaryota; Viridiplantae; Streptophyta; Magnoliopsida; Fabales; Fabaceae
Description: long non-coding RNA (CARI_LNC001755)
Source: RNAcentral